This is a non-coding RNA of Microcebus murinus (gray mouse lemur), 253 nucleotides long. NCBI's taxonomy places the organism in Eukaryota, Metazoa, Chordata, Mammalia, Primates, Cheirogaleidae. The record is from RefSeq and is a predicted model, not a curated record.
AUGAAGGUUUUCAUCUGUUUUGCAGGCAAUGAAGCAAGGGCUUUUUCAUGUAUGUUUGAACCGUCAGUGGAGAUUUCAGGAUAUCGCUCAAAUAGCUUGGCUGCAGUAAUUUUCUUGAGUGGAUGAUGUAGAGAAGAAGGCAUUAGCUGAGAGCGGGAGACCUGGAUUCCGGAGUGGGCAGUAACAGGCCGGGCCUGGUUUUACUAAGCAGAUACGGGGUCUCGAUCUUGCUCAGGCUGGUCUCGAACUCCUG